AUUGAACGCUGGCGGCAUGCUUUACACAUGCAAGUCGAACGGUAACAGGCCGCAAGGUGCUGACGAGUGGCGAACGGGUGAGUAAUGCAUCGGAACGUGCCCAGUCGUGGGGGAUAACUACUCGAAAGAGUAGCUAAUACCGCAUACGAUCUAUGGAUGAAAGCGGGGGACCGUAAGGCCUCGCGCGAUUGGAGCGGCCGAUGUCAGAUUAGGUAGUUGGUGGGGUAAAGGCUCACCAAGCCAACGAUCUGUAGCUGGUCUGAGAGGACGACCAGCCACACUGGGACUGAGACACGGCCAAGACUCCUACGGGAGGCAGCAGUGGGGAAUUUUGGACAAUGGGCGCAAGACUGAUCCAGCAAUGCCGCGUGCAGGAAGAAGGCCUUCGGGUUGUAAACUGCUUUUGUACGGAACGAAACGGCUCUGGUUAAUACCCGGGGCUAAUGACGGUACCGUAAGAAUAAGCACCGGCUAACUACGUG
Molecule: ribosomal RNA, 482 nt
Filed under: uncultured bacterium
Lineage: Bacteria
Description: partial 16S ribosomal RNA
Rfam family: Bacterial small subunit ribosomal RNA
Source: RNAcentral